UGACAGUUCUUUAGGACCACACAUUAAAAUUGAAACGCCAUCUUCGUUAGCGCGAGCGGUACGACCGCUUCUAUGAACAUACAUAUCAGCUGUAUGAGGAACAUGAUAAUGAAUUACGUGCGUAACACUAGGAAUAUCAAUACCACGGGCGGCCACAUCAGUGCAAACAAGGACUCCUUUAGGAUUAUUUUUGAACCUUGUUAGUUAGUAACAUAUAAAUAAAAAUAACUUACUUUUCAAGAGAUUGAAGUCUUUUUUUCUGAUCUAAUUGAGCAUGUAGAGGAUAGGAUGGAACUUUUAACUCAUUUAGAAAAGGAGUGAUUCUCUUAAUAUCCUCAAUACCAUUGGCAAAAACCAUGGUUUUUCCAGGAUAACGCAUGAUCAAAUAAUAAAGAUACAAGUCUUUUUCAGCUGGAGCACACUCUAUGAGCCCUUCUAAUACGCGGCUUGCCAC
Non-coding RNA from Schizosaccharomyces pombe (fission yeast), 454 nucleotides. NCBI's taxonomy places the organism in Eukaryota, Fungi, Ascomycota, Schizosaccharomycetes, Schizosaccharomycetales, Schizosaccharomycetaceae. The record is from the annotation of a GenBank genome assembly.